Molecule: unclassified non-coding RNA, 11077 nt
Filed under: Hevea brasiliensis (rubber tree)
Lineage: Eukaryota; Viridiplantae; Streptophyta; Magnoliopsida; Malpighiales; Euphorbiaceae
Source: RNAcentral
AUAGGACAUGUUCUACGUAUUACAUCUAACUCCCACCGAAGCCACAUAAAUUAAUCUCUUUCUUCUUCUCUUUCAUUUUCCUUUCCCAAAUGGAGCAGCGCUGCCAGUCAUGAACGCAACAUUGUCCUCAUCCUCCUGCUCUUCCUCGCUACUUUCUAAUCCAUACUCACUCACUCACAACCUCACUUUCCACUGGUCCCUUCCUCCAUCACCUUCCUCCACCCUAAACACCACCACCACUACCAACGUCACGUCCAAACCCGCGCGCCUUUACCGUGCGCACACCGAACAAGCCAAUCCUACAACAGCAGACCUUUCUCUCACUACUGCUAGUAAUGACCAGAGACUCUUGUCUCUCCUCCGCCAAAGAAAAACCGAAGAGGCUUGGACCCUCUAUACCCAAUCCACUCACCUUCCAUGUCCCACUUGCCUUAGCCGCUUAGUCUCCCAACUUUCCUAUCAAAACACCCCUCUCAGUCUUUCUCGAGCUCAGUCCAUUCUCACGCGCCUCCGCCAUGACCGCCAACUCCACCGCCUCGAUGCCAAUUCCCUUGGUCUACUCGCCGUCUCCGCCACCAAAUCCGGUCAACUCAUUUACGCUGUCUCCCUCAUCAACUCCAUGCUGCGUUCCGGCUAUCUCCCCCACGUCAAGGCCUGGUCUGCCGUUCUGAGUCGCCUCGCCUCCUCCCCGGAUGAUGGCCCUACCCAAGCUAUCAAGCUCUUCAAGUUAAUCACUCGCCGUGUACGUCGCUUCUCGGAUGUGGCAAUGGUGGCUGACUCGAGGCCGGACACGGCUGCUUUCAAUAACGUACUUAACGCUUGUGCUAAUACGGGAGAUACGAAAAUGUUCCUCCAGCUGUUUGAGGAAAUGUCUGAGUUCGGAGCUGAGCCAGAUAUCUUGACUUAUAAUGUUCUAAUUAAGCUUUGCGCUAGGUGUGAUAGGAAAGAUUUGCUUGUGUUUGUCUUGGAGAGGGUAAUUGAGAAGGGAAUUCCUUUGUGUAUGACCACUUUGCAUUCCCUUGUGGCUGCCUAUGUUGGGUUUGAGGACCUGGAAGCCGCGGAGAAAAUUGUUCAAGCAAUGAGAGAAGAAAGGAGAGAUCUUUGUAAGAUUCUUAGGGAGGCGAAUUUGGAUGAUUAUUGUGAAGAUGAGGAAGAUACAGUCGAGGAUAAGGAUGAGAAUAAUGUGUUUAACAAGUUACUUCCAAAUUGGGUUGAAGCUAGUAACACCGAGCCACCAUUAUUGCCUAAAGCUUAUGCUCCUGACUCUAGAAUAUACACAACUUUAAUGAAGGGUUAUAUGAAGCAAGGCCGUGUAAGCGACACUAUUAGAAUGCUGGAGGCAAUGAGACGCCAGGAUGAUAAUGCAAGUCAUCCUGACCAUGUAACAUAUACUACAGUUGUUUCUGCUCUUGUAAGGGCGGGUUCUAUGGACCGUGCUCGUCAAGUACUAGCCGAGAUGACGAGAAUUGGUGUGCCUGCAAAUAGGAUUACUUAUAAUAUUCUCCUCAAGGGUUAUUGCCAGCAGCUGCAGAUUGAUAAGGCUAAGGAGUUGCUUAAAGAAAUGGCUGAUGAUGCUGAAAUUGAGCCUGAUGUGGUUUCAUAUAAUACUUUGGUGGAUGGGUGUAUACAGGUUGAUGACAGUGCAGGGGCUUUGGCCUUUUUUAAUGAGAUGCGAUCAAAAGGAAUUGCUCCCACCAAGAUUAGUUACACUACUUUGAUGAAAGCUUUUGCCUUAUCAGGCCAACCGAAGUUGGCUAACCAGGUGUUUGAUGAGAUGUUCAAAGACCCACGUGUUAAAGUUGAUUUGAUUGCUUGGAAUAUGCUUGUUGAAGGGUAUUGUAAAUUGGGAUUGGUCGAGGAGGCGAAGAAAAUAAUCCAGAGAAUGAAGGAGAAUGGAUUCUAUCCUAAUGUGGCAACUUAUUGUAGUCUUGCAAACGGUAUAGCAUUGGCUAGAAAACCAGGGGAAGCACUUCUACUUUGGAAAGAAGUAAAGGAAAGGUGUAUGGUACAAAAGGAAGGGGAGAAGAAAUCUAAUUCCGAUUCACCUGUUCCACCAACAUUGAAACCUGGCGAGGGCUUGUUAGAUACUCUGGCUGAUAUUUGUGUGCGGGCUGCUUUCUUCCAAAAGGCUCUAGAAAUAGUGGCUUGCAUGGAAGAAAAUGGUAUUCCUCCAAAUAAGACCAAGUACAAGAAAAUCUAUGUGGAGAUGCAUUCGAGAAUGUUUACUAGUAAACAUGCCUCACAGGCCAGGCAAGACAGGAGAAGAGAAAGGAAGCGAGCAGCCGAGGCUUUCAAGUUUUGGUUGGGCUUGCCAAAUUCUUAUUAUGGAAGCGAAUGGCGAUUGGAUGGAGAUGAUUAUUCUUGAUUCAGUUUAACUUCUAUGUAUUUGACUGUAUAAUGUUUCUAAUUGAAAUUCCACAGAAGUAAAAUGAAAAAUAAUUUCUAUGGGAAUGGUCUGUAAAUCAUGAACAUUUGAAUUUUGGAGGUAAUAUUAUCAUUGUAUAAAGUAAUGAAAUUAAAUCUGUGCAAAUUUGUUCAGCAGAAGAAAUUCAGAAUUGAUUCAUGUUAAACAUAAACUGGAUACAACAUUCAUUUUCAACUGUUUACUCUGAUGCCAUAAACCCAGAAAUAUGUACUAUGGAUUUCUGUGGGUUUGUUGAAGCCAAUUACAGUGCCCUAUGAACAGUUUGAUGGGAUAUUGAAAGAAAUAAUGGAAACAGGGAGCAUAACAUUUCCUGCUAUUUGAAGAAGCUCAACCCCUUGACCGUGAUGAUUGACUUCCUGUAUAUGAUGAUGUUAGUACCUGAUAUUUCUUUGGUCCCUUCUUGAGUAGAUAACCAAUAAUGUUUAAGUUGUCCACAAAUGUGUCAAUAUCUGGAACUCGUAGCCCAAUCCUAUCUGCCAAACUGUAUAUUUCCUGAAAUAACAAGAGAAGAUAGAUUAGAGGACGAGUUGAUUUUAAGAGGCAAAUUUUCCAUUGCUAUAAAUGACAGAAAAAGCAAUUCCCCAGACAGAAAUUGAGAAGGUAUCUUUCUGCUGCAACUCUGACUGCUUAUUGAGGGCAGUCAGAAACCGUUUUGCUUCUUUCUGUUGGCUCAUUCCACCACUCCGACCAAAAUCCACAAAACCGUGCUCAUCAACAUACUUAUCAUACAGGGACUCUUUCAUUAUUUCAACCACAUCCAUUGCAUCUUGUUCUGUUAUUUCUUCUCUCAACUCUAGCCGAGCUCGAGCUUCAGCAAGCCUCACUAGACUUUCCAGUUGCCUUGCUGUUAUUGGUGUCCCAUCAGCUGAUGUAUUAUGGUCUCUAAGUUGUAAAUAGAACUUCUGCAGGAUUUCUGCUGCCGGUCUUGACAUCCUAUAUCAAUGAAAUAAAUACACGCAAAUAAAUUUGCAUUAAUAAAUAUUUGUAUGUAAUCACAUAGUACAGAUUACAUCUUCACAAGGGAGAAUCAUGCCAAAUCACCUAGGAAAGACAUAAGUUCUUGCAUAAGCAAUAUACUUUCGAAGAAGUGGACCAGGCAGAGGAGCAAAAUCAGCAUCCUUCUUUGGCUCAAGUCUCAGCCUGGAAAUUAAAGAACCACUUCGUACAUUCAUAUCUAUGCCCCUGUUGCUUUGUGAGGCUGAAUUUUGCAUAUUAAGGAUACAUAUCAUGAGAAACACUCUAUGGAAAUGUAUAUUCAUCCAUAGACAGAAACUCUACCUAAGUUUCCCCUUCCAUAAAGGGAGAAAAACAAAGGAGCAAAGAGAAGCAUAGGGACACUACCUAUCCGUAGCCUUUUUGUUGCUGGUGCAUGUUCCACAAAACCAGCAUGAAGCUGUGAGAUGAAAACAUUGAGUCUUUUAUAUCCUCAAGAAACAAACAGAUAAUGAAAAUGAUCCAAAAAUUAUAUGCAUGGUCCUGGAAAAAACAGCAAUCUUAACAGCCAAAAAAACUCUCCAAUUGCUUGACAAACAGUCUCCAAUUAAUGCCAAUAGUCUCCCAUCCUAUCAUAUCUUUUAAAGUGUGAUCGUAAUAUCGAAUGAAAUGUGUAAAAUAUUUUGUGAAAUGCAAAUACAUACUGAAGUUCCAUUAAAAUUUAAUUCUAACAUAAGUUGUCUUUCAAAGUUGCUUUGAAAUUCGCCACAUAUGUUUAUGACACAUACACAAAGAAAUGAACAAAAGCAGGUCCAUUCACCACAAUUUUUUAUGCUUCACAAUGGACUUACCUUCAAUUAGAUACAGAUAGCGUGUUUUCAUGCAAAAGAAUGUGCCAAUGCAAGAUGUUAGACAGGAUAACUUACUGACAUGAUGUGGUCUGAGACUUGUUUAUCCAGUACUUCGUCAGGUUUAUCGAGUAGUAUGAAAACCAAAUCAAAUCGAGAGAGGAGAGCAGCACUCAUUUUUAAGUUCUCAUUCACCGUCUUUGCUCGGCUGCAAUUUGGCUUUUGAAAAUCAACUAUACCAAACUAUAUACACAAUAAAAGUAUAAUCAUAUAAAUUUAAGGUAUUGCUAGAACUAAUAUUCUGUUAGAUUGGAAAUUUUUGAAUGUUUGCAAGAAAAUGCCCAGUAUCUGGAUUAUUUAAUUUCACCAGAAUCACAGAGAUCUUUUUUUAUGCAUCACUGUUGCCUUUCUAUUGCAUUUGCUAUCAGCUUCAAGAAAGUUAUAUUAGAAAGGAUAAACUAUAAACCAAAAUGAAGAAGAAAUUACUUGUAAUGACCACCAACAGGGUUUGCUGCUGCUAAAACAGAAGUUCGUGCUGAUAGACUUGCAAGCAGGCCAGCCUUUGCAACAGAGACACAUUGUUGCUCCAUGGCUUCCAAAAGAGCCUGAUGUUCUGCAGACAUUUUAUCAAAUUCAUCAAUACAACACAGUCCACUGUCUGCUAGCACCAUUGCACCAGAUAUCCUUCCCUUUGUUCAUAGAAAGGCAGUUCUCAUGACUCAAAACGGUGACUUCUUUGCCACAAAUGAUUAACCUUACCAUUGCACCAAAACUUUUCCUCUUUUGAUCUUAUAUCUUUUCUUCUUAAAAAAAGUCCUAGUGAAGAGCCAUCCUUCAUUGGGUUUUUGGGAGGCUCAAAUGUAUGCAGUCUUCCCCUUGCACUGCGAGGAGGCUAUUUUUGUGGUUUGAACCUAUGACCUCUAGGUCAUAAUGGAGCAUCAAAGUUCAAGUGUCUUUUAUCAUACAUGACCUAUGAAAGAAAUGAAAGGAAACGGCACAUUUUGAUAUUAAAAACAACAAUCCCAUGUAUCCAAUCACAACUAAGCCUCUAUCUAUUUACAACACUAAACCAAUUAAUCACCACUUGAUGCUUCAACUUUUCUCUAGUGUGACAGAAUAUAAUCAGAUAUUGUUGAUCAGUUAUCCCAAUUAUAGCUUAGUAAACCACACCAUGGAGGUAAUAAGUAAUAAAAAAUACAUCACAAAUUAAUGUGAUAAAAAGAAGAAAAGAAGCAAUCAGCUACCAGCCUCAAAUGCAUAGUCACUUGUCAUAGAAUCUUUCACUACUGCAACAGUGAGGCCAGCAUUGGUGGUAGCAUUGCCGCACACAUAAAUGCCACGUGGAGAAACGGCAGCUGCUGCUUGCAGUAAUUGACUCUUGCCUAGUCCAGGAUCACCAACAAUUAUGACAUGGAUAUCUCCUCUAACAGGGACCUUAUUUUGAUCUGUCGAAUGUUUGCGUACACCUCCAAACAGUGCUAAUGUUAUACCCGCUUUAACAGGUUCAUGUCCAUAGAUUGAGGGACAUAUGGAUUGAAUUAUUUGCCGGAAGAUAUCUGAACCAUAUUCUUCUGAAAACUUCACAAUAAAUUCCAAAUCCCUGGGAGAGAAUGAGUACAAAUCAGACAGCUCUGUAGCUCUAUCAUUAGACUUGGAAUCUUGCAAAUCAUACGAUGCAGACUGUGACUUGGAAUUUUUUAUGGAAACCACUUCUAGAUAUAGAUAGUAAAAUCCUUGAUUUUUGCCUUUUGAUUUUCCAUGUAAAAAUUUUUAGCCCACCUCCUCCAAUGUCCACAUAAUUAUUAAUUGUUCUUAUAAUUCCCGAAACAGUCACCACAUCUCCAGGAAUGCAUGCAUCAACAAGAUCUUCAGUCAGUUCACAUUCCACUGUUCGAGGAACCCGCCCUUCUUCAUGAUCUUCAGACUUUAGUAACUCCUGUAUCCUUAUUUUCUGAAAAUCUAUGUCUUUGGCAGAAGCUCGAAUGGGGUGAAAAGUCCUGCUCUUGCACCCAUUUAAGUUACAAAUAGUUGGCGGCGAAAAUUUUCCAUCAGGAAGUACACGUAUGAUAUUGGAUUUACACUUUUCACAAUCAAAACUCAUCUGUACCACCAAAGGCCUAACUGUGCUAACUUUCACCACAGUCCCUCGCACAGAUACAAGCUUAUCAAUAUAUGCUGCUUUUAGGUUUUUCAGAGCAAUCAUUGAUUCAGGGUAAUUGUGAAGACGGAUGUUUAUCUUUGUCCCAUUCUCUAGAAUGUUCUCCUCCCAUUUGGUCAAAAGUAUCUUGUGAACUGCGGCACCCAUGCAAGAGAGAGCUACUUUAGGUUUCUCCUCUAGAGUUGCAUAAAAUUCCUCAACCUCACACAGUUUUCGAAAUUGUUGAAAGUCAAUUGGCAAAAAGAAGGAGCCAUUCUCUUCCUUUACCUGAGAAGCGAGAUCUUGACCCGGAGAUGUGGAGAAGAAGUGGAUGAGAUCAGAUGUGAGCAUAAGCUUGUCGUCGUCGACUGCAAAUUCGUUCGAAGGGAAGUAAGCGGCCAGGAUGUCCAUACUGUUGCUCAAUUCGUUCAUCGUCCGGCGGUGCUUAUUUGCGCUUGUGCUAUCUCCAUUACCUCCGUACAUGAUGGCGAUCGAUAAAAAAGGGCCGUCUCUCCCUCUCUCCCUGCCAGUGCUAGCACUGCCAAGUGCUUGUUAAAAUCCUCUCGUUUUGGCGGGAGAGACCUUAGAUUUUAUAUGCUACAAGCCAUUUACAAUUUGAAAACACGACUUGUCGCACAUUCUGGUACGUGUUUCCCCGAAAAUGUCGUCGCCUUGCAAACGACAAGUUAUUUCUCACGAGAUUAUUUACAUUAUGCUAAACGACGCCGUGUCCAUUGAUGAGUGCAAUUUUAUAUUGCGGUUUACACGUGGAGAACCAUCAAAUAAGAAUUCGUGGAUUACAGCCACCUGGCCCAAUAACCACAGGCCGUCCGAUCUUUUCCACGUGUCAAUGCAGAUCAUCUAUUUCGUACCCUUCAAUUCAUAGAAAACCAUUGCCGAUACGAAUGCGGCCCUUAACCUGACUCUGACCAUCAUCUUUCUCUCCGCUGCCUCUCUCUACUGGAAUUUCUUAUCAGUUCAAAACCAAACUGGCACCUUAAAGCCAAGCUAGCUUACUGCUUUCUUUCUCUCUCUCUCUAUCCAAACAGUUACACAAGGUACUCGUUUUUCCUUUGUUUUCUGUCUUCAUUUGAGUUGGGGAGUUUCUAUUUUUUUAAUGGAGUUUUAUUUAUAGACACUGUUUUUGGAGUGUAUCAAUGUCUGCGAAUCUUGACCCCAUCGACCUUAAUUCCGACGUCGUGUCAGUCGAACCAGAAGACGAUGUUCAUGGGGUUAGUAUUCUAGAACCAACUGUUAAGCUUCGUUUGUCUGAUGCUGAAACCCUAACAGACUCUUAUGGUCAGACCCAGAAGCCAGUAGUAGACCAAGUUAGAAACUUUGAAGAAGCUAAUGACUUGAAGGGGGUAAUUGUUGAUGGGUUAGGCAAUGGGGAUUUGGAAAGAGAAACGGAGUCUGUUGAUAGAGGAAUUACUUUGGAAACAGAAAUUGGGUCUGUAGAAAGGGAGAGCAAUACGGUUGUUGAUGUCUCUUCUGGAGUAGUCCUCCAGGUAAUUGAAACAAGUCAUGGUGAGGUAGAAGAAAACCAUUCGGGUCAAGUUAAGAAGGAAGUGAAGGUGGGUAUUCCUUCAAGUUCAGCAUUUGAGGAUUCAAUCCAAGUUCAAAAUGCAGGUAAUUCGGGCCCUUUGCCUGGAGUAGUGGAUGUGUUAGUGAAAGAAGCUAGCGCAAAUUUUUUAUUGCCUCUCCAAGAUGUCGGUGAGGUUUGCAAAGAGGUAACUUCUGAUUGUACUGGGUUUCAGGCCAUGGAAUUGGAUGAUCAAGCUAAUACCUCUGAAGUGAUUUGCCAGGAAAAUGAUGAUAAUAAUAAGUCCGGUGCACUAAAUCUUGUAGUGGAUUUGAACCCAUACGUGAGCAUUGAUGGGAAUGAUUUAGGUAAUGUAAAUGUGAAAGUAUCUGCCUCCAAGCUGGAAUUCAGUGUUUCUGACCUUGUAUGGGGCAAAGUGAGAAGCCAUCCCUGGUGGCCUGGGCAGAUAUUUGAUCCUUCUGAUUCCUCAGAGAAGGCAAAGAAGUAUUUUAAAAGGGAUAGCUAUUUAAUUGCAUAUUUUGGGGAUCAGACAUUCGCUUGGAAUGAACCAUCAAUGAUAAAGCCUUUUCGAUCCCAUUUCUCACAAAUGGAGAAACAGAACAACUCAGAGGAAUUUCAUUAUGCCAUUGAUUGUGCUUUGGAUGAGGUUUCUAGACGUGUAGAGUUUGGGCUGUCCUGUCGUUGCAUAUUUGAGUAUAGCAAGAUUAAUACUCAAAUAAUCGUUAAUGCUGGAAUCCGGGAAGAUUCUAGUAGAAGAGUAGGUGGGGAUAGCUUUUCAGGUGCAGAUGCUUUUGAACCUGCAAAACUAGUUGAUUAUAUUAAAGCAUUAGGCCUAUUGCCAUUUGGUUUAAUUGACAGACUGGAAUUUGUAACAACACAGGCCCAACUAUUGGCGUUUUGUCGCUGGAAGGGUUUUUCUCAACUGCCCGAAUUCCAAAUUCUUGGCACCUUGUUGCUGAGUGAUACAGAAAUUGCACAAUUAGUACCAGUAGAAGGGAAGUGUUGCAGUGAAUUGAAUGAAAAUCCUGGUGCUGAAGAUAAAGAUGACAAGCAUGCAUCUUCAGGAAAAGUGGAGUCAAAAUGUCUAGAUCACUCAACUCCUAAGCGUAAGUACAUCUCUGGAGAUAAUGUAUAUCCAAGAAAGAAAGAGAAAAGUUUGGCUGACCUAAUGGCUGAGAGAGGCUUAUCUGUUCCAAAUGGUAAAAGUGGAUUGGGGAUUAGAGCUACUAACAAGGUAACUUCACCAUCUUCUGGUAAGAAAAGGAAGGCUGUUGAUUCCAUUUAUGAUGACUCUUUGGUGAAUCACAGCAAAAUUCUUUCAUCAUCAGGGGGUGGAAUCAACCCUUCUUCACAGCCAAAGAGAACCUAUAGAGUUGGAGAUAGCAUUCUUAGGGUUGCAAGCCAACUGUUUGAACCAACGCCAAUAAGCAAAUCUGUUAAUGGAGUUUCUCCAGAUUCUGCAAUUAGGGAUGAGAGCAAUGAGAAGUCUCUCUCAAGAAAGUCACAAGGUAAAAAACUGUUUCAAAUAGAGAAUUCUUCAUUUUAUGAGAUGGUGUCGCAGCUUUGCUUGGUAGCUAGAGAUCCCAUGGAUGUAUGCAGCUUCUUGAAAUCAGUAGUUAGUUUCUUUGUGGAAUUCAGGAAUUCAGUUUGCCUGGAACAUUUGAAUUCACUGCAGCACAAGUCAUCCUUUCUGGAAUUUCUCUUUGCUGAUAAUAUUGGGAAGGAAUCAAGCAAUUCAGAAACUGAAACAUGUGAAUCAGAGUAUGCCAAAGACUCUUGUUUGCAAGACAUGAUAAUUCAAAGUGUCCCCAAAGAGCUGCCAUCACCUGAGAAUCAGAAUGGAGCUGUAGACAUGCCACCUGAAAGUACAACCAAAAAGGUUAUUCCUCUUAUUGAAUUACAACCUACUGCUCAAUCUAGUCCUAAUUUGGAUUCUGAACAUCAAGGUGCUGGUGAAAUUCUUGAUAUGGAAGCAAUGAAGCCAGUGGAUCACUCGGAAGAGAAUUGUAAUGAUCACUCUCCAACAGCUCUGAUUCUGAACUUUACUGGCCUGGAUUCCAUCCCUUCAGAAUCAAAUUUGAACAAGAUAUUCAGCCGAUUUGGCCGUGUGAAGGAAUCAGAGACUGAAGUGCUGAAGAAGAGUAACCGUGUGAAAGUGGUUUUCUACAGGCGAGAUGAUGCAGAAACGGCUUUCAGCAGUGCUGGUAAAUACAGCAUAUUUGGACCUUCACUUGUUAGUUAUCGCCUCAAGUACAUGCCUUUCUCACGAAGUAAAUCUUCUCCGAAAACAACAAAGAGCAGCAAGAAAAAUGCAAAUUCUGUGGAGGAAAAUACAACUUGAUGCAUCAGACUCUGGUAUAAGUUGCCAGCAACAUGAAGUUAAAACUGUUGGUAGUUUUCAUUUGUUCCUUUCUUUGGCUGAUCCCUGGUGAUCUUAAGUGGACUAUACAAGUAGUCUGACUAAAUACAGUUUGUUUGCGGAUGUAAUUAAUCUAUGGAAAUUAUUAGGGAGUAUCUUGAUUGAUAGAACUCGCUAUUUUGUUUAUAUUUCAAUUUGCCAUAGUCUGGCAUUUUCAUGUAGUAAGGUUCAAUUUUAUUGUGAUGAUCACUUGACAGGAUAAGGAUGCAUGUGGAUGGUUCAAAGCAAGUGCAUCAGUUCUGCUUUAUUGGUUACCAGUGAAUCGCCAUUCAGACAAGGCCAUGUGUGGUGGAGGUUUGAUGCUGAUAUAUACUCUUUGGCAUACACAACACAUUAACAUCACUUGUUGACACUUUAAAGGAGUUGCUUAAGACUACAGUACAUGACUUGUGAACCUCAAACUAGCUGCUUAGAUUAUCUGUUGCUUAAAUUUAUACUUUAUGCCAUGCCAAUCUGAUAAUAUGUGUAUCCUUUUCAGCUGCGGUUCUGCAGAAACAGGCAAGAGAAAGCUACUUCAUGCAGUCUCAAGUGGCUAAGACUAUAGUGCCAUAAUGUGAAUAUUGUAUUGCUUCUCUUAGGGACAUGUUCAUAUGAAGUUAAAAUAUAAAUACAGAAAUUAGAUGAAUUGGUCAUAAAUAUAAUAAGCUUUAUUAAAAUUUUGUAGUAUUUAGUUUCAUAUUCUAUAAGACUCUAAUUCAUGUGAAAAUUAUCCCAAGAGAAAUGUGGGGAAAAAAAUGAAGGUGAAAAGAGCAAGAAGGGAAAGAAAAUGAAG